CUCGCACCGGCGCUGGGGUGCAGGCUUUCAGUGGUCUCAGGGCUACGGCUUGUCGGUGCCUCGCCGCACAGUCCCCUUUGCAUUGAAGGACACGGUCUUACGGUGUAGGAGCAUUUUUGAGGUGCAUUCCUGGAUUUGGAGGCGAACCCCCAAUGGUUACCUCCACAGAGGCUUUGCGAAGGGCGCUCACUGACUUAGGUGAAGAGCGAAGGCUCAAGACUGUGCCGCUUUAUAGUGGCCCCUUGACGUCCAGAAGUUCCCCCCAGCGCCGGUCAUAAGCACUCCCGCCGCCUGGGCCCCGCCCUGCCUGCCAGGCGCCCUCCAGCCUCAGCUCCCGGACGCCCGGCGUGGCCGCUUUCUCGCGUCUUGCUGACCCGGGCCGGGGGCGUGUGCUCCUCCUGCAGCGGACGGAAGAUGCUGGGCCACGCAAGUUUCCCUGGGCUUGGUUAACCACCCCAAAGCCCAUUUCCAGAAGGAAAGGGUGUUGAGGAGGAGGGAUAGAAAGUCGAGAAGAGGGCCGGGUGAGUGGCUCACGCCUGUCAUCCCAGCACUUUGGGAGGCCGAGACAGGCGGAUCACCUGAGGUCAGGACUUAGAGACCAGCCUGGCCUACAUGGUGAAACCCCGUCUCUACUAAAAAUACAAAAAUUAGCCGGGUGUGGUGCCGUGCGCCUGUAGUCCCAGCAACUCGGGAGGCUGAGGUAGGAGAAUCGCUUGAACCCGGGAGUCGGAGGUUGCAGUGCUGAGAUGGCACCUGGCCUGGGCGGCAAGAGCGAAACUCCAUCUCAAAAAAAAAAAGAAGAGGAAAUGAGGCAUAGGGGCAGGCGAGCCGGGAAAAUAUUGCUACUAAGGAUCCUAAGCAGUGAACAUGCUGUUAAUACUUAGAUGAGAUCUUGCUCUGUCACCCAGACUGGAGUGCAGUGGCACGAUCAUAGCUCACUGCACCCUCAAACUCCUGGACUCAA
RNAcentral lists this long non-coding RNA (964 nucleotides) under Homo sapiens (human). RNAcentral's name for it is "HSALNT0346742". Lineage: Eukaryota; Metazoa; Chordata; Mammalia; Primates; Hominidae. The record is from RNAcentral.